RNAcentral lists this unclassified non-coding RNA (322 nucleotides) under uncultured fungus. RNAcentral describes it as "partial contains 5.8S ribosomal RNA and internal transcribed spacer 2". The stretch from base 1 to 133 matches the Rfam family "5.8S ribosomal RNA", at positions 22 to 154 of the family's 154-position model. The record is from RNAcentral. Lineage: Eukaryota; Fungi.
UGGUUCUGGCAUCGAUGAAGAACGCAGCGAAAUGCGAUAAGUAGUGUGAAUUGCAGAAUUCCGUGAAUCAUCGAAUCUUUGAACGCACAUUGCGCCCCUUGGUAUUCCAUGGGGCAUGCCUGUUCGAGCGUCAUUUACCCCCUCAAGCCCUGCUUGGUGUUGGGCGUCUGUCCCGUCUUUUGCGCGCGGACUCGCCCCAAAACAAUUGGCAGCGGUCGUGCCAGCCUCUCGCGCAGCAGUUUGCGCUCCCAGAGGCCCGGCGGACGCGCAUCCACAAAGCCCAUCCACUUUUGACCUCGGAUCAGGUAGGGAUACCCGCUGA